AGCCGAGCGGUAUUCGUCCUUCGGGACGGAGAGAGCGGCGUACGGGUGCGGAACACGUGUGCAACCUGCCUUUAUCUGGGGGAUAGCCUUUCGAAAGGAAGAUUAAUACCCCAUAACAUAUGAUACGGCAUCGUAUUAUAUUGAAAACUCCGGUGGAUAGAGAUGGGCACGCGCAAGAUUAGAUAGUUGGUGAGGUAACGGCUCACCAAGUCAGUGAUCUUUAGGGGGCCUGAGAGGGUGAUCCCCCACACUGGUACUGAGACACGGACCAGACUCCUACGGGAGGCAGCAGUGAGGAAUAUUGGACAAUGGGUGAGAGCCUGAUCCAGCCAUCCCGCGUGAAGGACUAAGGCCCUAUGGGUUGUAAACUUCUUUUAUACUGGGAUAAACCUACUUACGUGUAAGUAGCUGAAGGUACAGUAUGAAUAAGCACCGGCUAACUCCGUGCCAGCAGCCGCGGUAAUACGGAGGGUGCAAGCGUUAUCCGGAUUUAUUGGGUUUAAAGGGUCCGUAGGCGGAUCCGUAAGUCAGUGGUGAAAUCUCAUAGCUUAACUAUGAAACUGCCAUUGAUACUGCGGGUCUUGAGUGAGAUUGAGGUAGCUGGAAUAAGUAGUGUAGCGGUGAAAUGCAUAGAUAUUACUUAGAACACCAAUUGCGAAGGCAGGUUACCAAGUCUUAACUGACGCUGAGGGACGAA
This 697-nucleotide ribosomal RNA is filed under the name Epilithonimonas ginsengisoli. Its description in RNAcentral is "bacterial SSU rRNA". It matches the Rfam family "Bacterial small subunit ribosomal RNA", at positions 60 to 757 of the family's 1533-position model. Lineage: Bacteria; Pseudomonadati; Bacteroidota; Flavobacteriia; Flavobacteriales; Weeksellaceae. The record is from RNAcentral.